This 327-nucleotide ribosomal RNA is filed under the name uncultured eukaryote. Its description in RNAcentral is "partial 18S ribosomal RNA". It matches the Rfam family "Eukaryotic small subunit ribosomal RNA", at positions 1470 to 1796 of the family's 1831-position model. The record is from RNAcentral.
CCCUUAGAUGUUCUGGGCCGCACACGCGCUACACUGAAGGAGGCAGCGUGUACUCCUGGAUCGAAAGAUUUGGGUAACCCGCGAAUCUCCUUCGUGCUAGGGAUUGAGGUUUGAAAUUAUCCUUCAUGAACGAGGAAUUCCCAGUAAGUGCAAGUCAUAAGCUUGCGCUGACUACGUCCCUGCCCUUUGUACACACCGCCCGUCGCUACUACCGAUUGAAUGAUUUAGUGAGGACUUCGGACUGGGACCGAUGCGGCUUUCGGGCUGCGUCGGUAUUCUGGAAAGAUGUCCAAACUGUAUCAUUUAGAGGAAGUAAAAGUCGUAACA